CUACGCCUUUCGAACAAGAAAGUGAAUGAAAAAAUCUUCAAGUUCACUGACUAUUAUAUUAUAGACUUAGGCAAUGGAUACUUGUGGCAACACUGGCUAACUAAAUGCUGACAAACUGAUUAGGUAACAGUCAACUCACGCCAUGGCUCAAGAGUUUCGGGAAGGAGACUUGUAUCAUAUCGAGGAUCAUUCUGAAGUCACAUGCAAUAGUGGUUCAAUCAAAACAACUUCUCUGUGGUUUGGGAAUCUUGAGCUACUCACUGCCCUGUGGUCUGGUCUCACCACGGACUCCCUGACUGACUCACCGCUUCACAGACAUUAGGAGAUGAUUGUUAGAAGGGCAAAACUUCAGAGAAUAUCCCGGCGACCUGUGCUCCCAGUACAGUAAAGUGGAGAAGGAAGUAACAUCACCAGAAAGCAGCAAGCUGCCAGACCACCAAAGGACCCUGGAGCCACUGCAUGCUGUGACAAGGGCCUGGAUGGUGAUACAUCUGUUUCAAGCUGCCUGCCUGAAUACUGAGGCCUUCAGCGAUACCUUCCCUUUGAUUACAGAAAGAAUAUCUUAACCUCUGUCUCAUAGCCAUUUAACAUGUAAUGUAUGUAACCACUCAAAUUCAGAGAAACAUCUACAAACACAAGAACUGACUUAUAUUCACUUGUCCCUGGCUGCGUUUGGACAGGCAGCCCAAUUUGGAUAUUGUGACCAAUCACAGCAGAUCUUUUCACAUCAGCUAUUUUUCAGAGCUGAUGUCAUUGGUCAAAAGACCAUUUUGUGGGAAAAACUCAGACUUGGGCUGCCUAUUUUAACACAGCCUAUUUGUCCUAUUCUUCAGUCUUCUCUGGGAUAAAUAUUUUACACAAGCACACAUUUGUGAUGUCCUUCAUACAUUAAUAAACAUUUAUUCACCCUGAA
Molecule: long non-coding RNA, 913 nt
Organism: Oncorhynchus tshawytscha (Chinook salmon)
Lineage: Eukaryota; Metazoa; Chordata; Actinopteri; Salmoniformes; Salmonidae
Source: Ensembl